Molecule: unclassified non-coding RNA, 211 nt
Filed under: soil metagenome
Description: partial contains 5.8S ribosomal RNA, internal transcribed spacer 2, and large subunit ribosomal RNA
Source: RNAcentral
AACGAGGCCGACCUGCGGCUGAGUUACCUGCGGAAGGAUCAUUACCGAGUUUACAACUCCCAAACCCCUGUGAACAUACCUAUACGUUGCCUCGGCGGAUCAGCCCGCGCCCUGUAAAAAGGGACGGCCCGCCCGAGGACCCUAAACUCUGUUUUUAGUGGAACUUCUGAGUAAAACAAACAAAUAAAUCAAAACUUUCAACAACGGAUCU